This 72-nucleotide transfer RNA is filed under the name Rickettsiales bacterium Ac37b. It matches the Rfam family "tRNA". From Rfam's summary of the family: Transfer RNA (tRNA) molecules are approximately 80 nucleotides in length. Lineage: Bacteria; Pseudomonadati; Pseudomonadota; Alphaproteobacteria; Rickettsiales. The record is from Rfam by way of RNAcentral.
GCGGGUGUAGCUCAGGGGUAGAGCGCUGCCUUGCCAAGGCCGAAGUCGUGAGUUCGAAUCUCAUCACCCGCU